GAUGAACGCUGGCGGCGUGCCUAAUUCAUGCAAGUCGAGCGAACAGACGAGGAGCUUGCUCCUCUGACGUUAGCGGCGGACGGGUGAGUAACACGUGGAUAACCUACCUAUAAGACUGGGAUAACUUCGGGAAACCGGAGCUAAUACCGGAUAACAUGUUGAACCGCAUGGUUCAACAGUGAAAGACGGUCUUGCUGUCACUUAUAGAUGGAUCCGCGCCGCAUUAGCUAGUUGGUAAGGUAACGGCUUACCAAGGCAACGAUGCGUAGCCGACCUGAGAGGGUGAUCGGCCACACUGGAACUGAGACACGGUCCAGACUCCUACGGGAGGCAGCAGUAGGGAAUCUUCCGCAAUGGGCGAAAGCCUGACGGAGCAACGCCGCGUGAGUGAAGAAGGUCUUCGGAUCGUAAAACUCUGUUAUUAGGGAAGAACAAAUGUGUAAGUAACUAUGCACGUCUUGACGGUACCUAAUCAGAAAGCCACGGCUAACUACGUG
RNAcentral lists this ribosomal RNA (497 nucleotides) under uncultured bacterium. Its description in RNAcentral is "partial 16S ribosomal RNA". It matches the Rfam family "Bacterial small subunit ribosomal RNA", at positions 28 to 507 of the family's 1533-position model. The record is from RNAcentral.